Molecule: long non-coding RNA, 1520 nt
Organism: Piliocolobus tephrosceles (Ugandan red Colobus)
Lineage: Eukaryota; Metazoa; Chordata; Mammalia; Primates; Cercopithecidae
Exons: 4
Source: RefSeq, a predicted model, not a curated record
GUUGAAGAGGUGGCCAGGAAAAGUAUUUUGAUGGCAGACUGGAGAGCAUCAUGAGAGUAAACUUUGGGCCUGUUGACUAUCAUCUCGGCAAUAAGUGUUGGGUCCUGGCCAAAGGGCUUGGAUGCAACAUGGGGCCAAUCAAUAAAUCCAUCCCCCAUGCUUUUCCUGGCCAUUAGAUAAUCAGCAGCCUAGUUCAUGUCUUGAUGGGAAGCUCUGCUAUGUGGAAGGAUCACAUCUUAGGUUUCUUGACAACUGGAUGACUUUUGAGAACAGAUCUAGGACAGAUCUAUUCUUGGAUUGUGGACAGGCAUCAGCCUACUAACAUCAUAUGGAACAGUUCUCCUUUACAGAAAGGGGCUAGGAUAAGGAGGAAAAACCAUCAGAAGAAAAGAUAAGACACUCUCUUCUCAUUCAGUAAGAGCCCCGCGCAAGGCAAGAAUCAGAGUCCAGCUCAGAAGGGGAAACUCUAGGAAGAGAGAAAUCCAUUCCAUGGACAACUGCCAAGAUAGAGCAGGACACCGUCAAGGACAUGAGCCAAAACUGCAAAAGGAUUGCUUGACUUUGGAAAAGAAACUAAAGGCCUCUGACACUGUACAUAUCAGUGAAAUGAGGAGACCCAUGAUGCCUGCUGUGGGGGAUCCAGAGAGGCCCACACUAGGCACAGUGAGUGACCCAGAUCUCAGUCUCAAGAGACCUCCCACUGCCACUUCAGAAAAGCCUGGCGACCUCUCUGCAAACUCCAUCUGAAGCCAUUUAUCACAACACAGCCCAGGUGUGGGAAGAGUAGGCAUAUUCUCUGCUGACCUGGCAGCACCUGUCUGAGCUCAUCUGGCUCCAGGGGCCUCUGUGCUGUGGUACAAACCUGUGCCAUGGCCACCCAGGUGGCCUAUGUCUUGCCCGCUGAGGGCUGGCUCAUCACAGUCACACUGCCUGGUCCCUAGGGUGGAGAAGCUCAGAGCUCCUCCUAGGAAGAAAAUGGGCCCGCCCCUUACCUGGACAGGAGAUAAAGGAGCCUGUUGGUAGAUCAAAUGAGGCUUUAGCUGGGGUCACCCAGACCCUAUUCAAUAGAGGACACAGCUGUGUGAGAGUGAGAAGAAAGACCUGCUACUUCUUAGACAAUUUUAGACACACUGUGUUAAUACAUGACAAAACAGGGGGCACUCUUGGGAAAGGAGUUUGAACAAUACCCUCAAAGUAUAAACUUUCAUUUAGAUCUAAAACUACUGACAAAUUUUGUAUUUCAUGUUAGACAUUUGAUGUUUUGGGAUGUUUUAUGACAGUCGCGCAUUUCUUUGUAAUCAAAAAUAUUAGGGUAUAAUCAUUCACAUAGUGUUUGUGUAUUGCAAAGUAUAGCAAAAUAAAUAUAUAUGUAGAUCCUCCCCCUAUAAGUCAGAAAAGACUGUAGCUCUUUACUCUCCCACCCUGAGUCAAUAAAGGACUGAUAUCUGCUAACCUUUAACAGUUUUCUCUAGGGAGAGAUGUUGGUGUUUUUUCAAUUAGAUGAACAAAUAAAAUCACCA